UAAGGUUAAGUUAAUAAGGGCGCACGGUGGAUGCCUUGGCACUAGAAGCCGAAGAAGGACGUGACUAACGACGAAAUGCUUUGGGGAGCUGUAAGUAAGCGCUGAUCCAGAGAUGUCCGAAUGGGGGAACCCACUAGUUAAUGACUAGUAUCCAUAUCUGUUAAGGAUAUGAGAAGGAAGACGCAGUGAACUGAAACAUCUAAGUAGCUGCAGGAAGAGAAAGCAAAAGCGAUUGCCUUAGUAGCGGCGAGCGAAACGGCAGGAGGGCAAACCGAAGUGUUUACACUUCGGGGUUGUAGGACUGCGAUAUAGGAUUAAUCAUUAUAGAAGAAUUACCUGGGAAGGUAAGCCAAAGAGAGUAACAGCCUCGUAUUUAAAAUGAUAGAUUAACCUUAGCAGUAUCCUGAGUACGGCGAGACACGCGAAAUCUCGUCGGAAUCUGGGAGGACCAUCUCCCAACCCUAAAUACUCUCUAGUGACCGAUAGUGAACCAGUACCGUGAGGGAAAGGUGAAAAGCACCCCGGGAGGGGAGUGAAAUAGAACCUGAAACCGUGUGCCUACAACAAGUUCGAGCCCGUUAAUGGGUGAGAGCGUGCCUUUUGUAGAAUGAACCGGCGAGUUACGAUAUGAUGCGAGGUUAAGUUGAAGAGACGGAGCCGUAGGGAAACCGAGUCUUAAUAGGGCGCCAUAGUAUCAUGUUGUAGACCCGAAACCAUGUGACCUACCCAUGAGCAGGUUGAAGGUGAGGUAAAACUCACUGGAGGACCGAACCAGGGCACGUUGAAAAGUGCUUGGAUGACUUGUGGGUAGCGGAGAAAUUCCAAACGAACUUGGAGAUAGCUGGUUCUCUCCGAAAUAGCUUUAGGGCUAGCGUCGAUGUUAAGUCUCUUGGAGGUAGAGCACUGUUUGGGUGAGGGGUCCAUCCCGGAUUACCAAUCUCAGAUAAACUCCGAAUGCCAACGAGAUAUAAUCGGCAGUCAGACUGCGAGUGCUAAGAUCCGUAGUCGAAAGGGAAACAGCCCAGACCACCAGCUAAGGUCCCAAAAUAUAUGUUAAGUGGAAAAGGAUGUGGGGUUGCACAGACAACUAGGAUGUUAGCUUAGAAGCAGCUAUUCAUUCAAAGAGUGCGUAAUAGCUCACUAGUCGAGUGACCCUGCGCCGAAAAUGUACCGGGGCUAAAACAUAUUACCGAAGCUGUGGAUGACACAAAAGUGUCAUGGUAGGAGAGCGUUCUAUGUGUGAAGAAGGUGUACCGUGAGGAGCGCUGGAACGCAUAGAAGUGAGAAUGCCGGUAUGAGUAGCGCAAGACAGGUGAGAAUCCUGUCCACCGUAAGACUAAGGUUUCCAGGGGAAGGCUCGUCCGCCCUGGGUUAGUCGGGACCUAAGGAGAGACCGAAAGGUGUAUCCGAUGGACAACAGGUUGAUAUUCCUGUACUAGAGUAUAUAGUGAUGGAGGGACGCAGUAGGCUAACUAAACCAGACGAUUGGAAGUGUCUGGUCAAACAGUGAGGUGUGAUAUGAGUCAAAUGCUUAUAUCUUUAACAUUGAGCUGUGACGAGGAGCGAAGUUUAGUAGCGAAGUUAGUGAUGUCACACUGCCAAGAAAAGCUUCUAGCGAUACAUAUACUCUACCCGUACCGCAAACCGACACAGGUAGUCGAGGCGAGUAGCCUCAGGUGAGCGAGAGAACUCUCGUUAAGGAACUCGGCAAAAUGGCCCCGUAACUUCGGGAGAAGGGGCGCUGAUUUUAGAUCAGCCGCAGUGAAUAGGCCCAAGCAACUGUUUAUCAAAAACACAGCUCUCUGCUAAAUCGUAAGAUGAUGUAUAGGGGGUGACGCCUGCCCGGUGCUGGAAGGUUAAGAGGAGUGCUUAGCGUAAGCGAAGGUAUGAAUUGAAGCCCCAGUAAACGGCGGCCGUAACUAUAACGGUCCUAAGGUAGCGAAAUUCCUUGUCGGGUAAGUUCCGACCCGCACGAAAGGCGUAAUGAUUUGGGCACUGUCUCAACGAGAGACUCGGUGAAAUUUUAGUACCUGUGAAGAUGCAGGUUACCCGCGACAGGACGGAAAGACCCCAUGGAGCUUUACUGCAGUUUGAUAUUGAGUAUCUGUACCACAUGUACAGGAUAGGUAGGAGCCUAUGAUAACGGGACGCCAGUUUCGUUUGAGGCGUUGUUGGGAUACUACCCUUGUGUUAUGGCUACUCUAACCCAGAUAGGCAAUCCCUAUCGGAGACAGUGUCUGACGGGCAGUUUGACUGGGGCGGUCGCCUCCUAAAAGGUAACGGAGGCGCCCAAAGG
Molecule: ribosomal RNA, 2296 nt
Filed under: Streptococcus sp. HMSC076H07
Lineage: Bacteria; Bacillati; Bacillota; Bacilli; Lactobacillales; Streptococcaceae
Description: bacterial LSU rRNA
Rfam family: Bacterial large subunit ribosomal RNA
Source: RNAcentral